RNAcentral lists this unclassified non-coding RNA (298 nucleotides) under plant metagenome. RNAcentral describes it as "partial contains 5.8S ribosomal RNA, internal transcribed spacer 2, and large subunit ribosomal RNA". The stretch from base 1 to 105 matches the Rfam family "5.8S ribosomal RNA", at positions 50 to 154 of the family's 154-position model. The record is from RNAcentral.
GAAAUGCGAUAAGUAAUGUGAAUUGCAGAAUUCAGUGAAUCAUCGAAUCUUUGAACGCACAUUGCGCCCCCUGGUAUUCCGGGGGGCAUGCCUGUUCAAGCGUCAUUUCACCACUCAAGCCUCGCUUGGUAUUGGGCAACGCGGUCCGCCGCGUGCCUCAAAUCGACCGGCUGGGUCUUCUGUCCCCUAAGCGUUGUGGAAACUAUUCGCUAAAGGGUGCUCGGGAGGCUACGCCGUAAAACAACCCCAUUUCUAAGGUUGACCUCGGAUCAGGUAGGGAUACCCGCUGAACUUAAGC